UGGGGAAUUUUGCGCAAUGGGGGAAACCCUGACGCAGCAACGCCGCGUGAGUGAUGAAGGCCUUCGGGUCGUAAAGCUCUGUCAGAGGGGAAGAAAUGUAGGAGUGCUAAUAUCACUUUUACUUGACGGUACCCUCAAAGGAAGCACCGGCUAACUCCGUGCCAGCAGCCGCGGUAAUACGGAGGGUGCGAGCGUUGUUCGGAAUUAUUGGGCGUAAAGCGCGUGUAGGCGGUCUUUUAAGUCUGAUGUGAAAGCCCCGGGCUCAACCUGGGAAGUGCAUUGGAAACUGGGAGACUUGAAUACGGGAGAGGGUAGUGGAAUUCCUAGUGUAGGAGUGAAAUCCGUAGAUAUUAGGAGGAACACCGGUGGCGAAGGCGGCUACCUGGACCGAUAUUGACGCUGAGACGCGAAAGCGUGGGGAGCAAACA
RNAcentral lists this ribosomal RNA (428 nucleotides) under uncultured prokaryote. RNAcentral's name for it is "bacterial SSU rRNA". It matches the Rfam family "Bacterial small subunit ribosomal RNA", at positions 355 to 774 of the family's 1533-position model. The record is from RNAcentral.